RNAcentral lists this ribosomal RNA (488 nucleotides) under uncultured bacterium. RNAcentral describes it as "partial 16S ribosomal RNA". It matches the Rfam family "Bacterial small subunit ribosomal RNA", at positions 28 to 507 of the family's 1533-position model. The record is from RNAcentral.
GAUGAACGCUAGCGGCAGGCCUAAUACAUGCAAGUCGGACGGGAUCCAUUGAUAGCUUGCUAUCAAUGGUGAGAGUGGCGCACGGGUGCGUAACGCGUGAGCAACCUGCCUCCAUCAGGGGGAUAGCCUCUCGAAAGAGAGAUUAACACCGCAUAAUAUCAACAGUUCGCAUGUUCAGUUGAUUAAAUAUUUAUAGGAUGGAGAUGGGCUCGCGUGACAUUAGCUAGUUGGUAGGGUAACGGCUUACCAAGGCGACGAUGUCUAGGGGCUCUGAGAGGAGACUCCCCCACACUGGGACUGAGACACGGACCAGACUCCUACGGGAGGCAGCAGUAAGGAAUAUUGGUCAAUGGGAGGAAGCCUGAACCAGCCAUGCCGCGUGCAGGAUGACUGCCCUAUGGGUUGUAAACUGCUUUUGUCCAGGAAUAAACCUAAAUACGAGUAUUUAGCUGAAUGUACUGGAAGAAUAAGGAUCGGCUAACUCCGUG